RNAcentral lists this ribosomal RNA (301 nucleotides) under uncultured bacterium. RNAcentral describes it as "partial 16S ribosomal RNA". It matches the Rfam family "Bacterial small subunit ribosomal RNA", at positions 509 to 807 of the family's 1533-position model. The record is from RNAcentral.
CAGUCGCCACGGUAAUACGGAGGGUGCAAGCGUUAAUCGGAAUUACUGGGCGUAAAGCGCACGCAGGCGGUCUGUCAAGUCAGAUGUGAAAUCCCCGGGCUUAACCUGGGAACUGCAUUUGAAACUGGCAGGCUAGAGUCUUGUAGAGGGGGGUAGAAUUCCAGGUGUAGCGGUGAAAUGCGUAGAGAUCUGGAGGAAUACCGGUGGCGAAGGCGGCCCCCUGGACAAAGACUGACGCUCAGGUGCGAAAGCGUGGGGAGCAAACAGGAUUAGAUACCCGUGUAGUCCCUGUCUCUUAUAC